Molecule: long non-coding RNA, 318 nt
Filed under: Zonotrichia albicollis (white-throated sparrow)
Lineage: Eukaryota; Metazoa; Chordata; Aves; Passeriformes; Passerellidae
Description: lncRNA (ENSZALG00000003630.1)
Source: RNAcentral
UCGGUGGCAGAAGCUCACCAGCGAUGCUGAUCUGACAUCCCAGCAACCUGCCUGCAGCUCUCCUCCAGCAGCAGCGGGAGCUUCCUGGGGCUCUGCAGUCUGCACCUGGACUGACUCCCUGUAGCCAGAGUCUCGGUGUUCAUUGCCAGCAGAGAGUCCAGGCAGCUGCAUGAGCACAGAGAGCAAGGACUGCUGUGGGUGUUGGGCUGUCACACCAAGCUGAGCAGCCUGUGUUGCCUUUGCUGUGCCACAGCCCCAUCACACUGAUCAAGACCUAAAACUCUGUCCUCUAAUUUGGGUGAUGUGAGUGAGUUAACA